UACGUAGGCAGCGAGCGUUGUUCGGAGUUACUGGGCGUAAAGAGUGCGUAGGCGGUUUUCUAAGUUUGGUGUGAAAUCUCCCGGCUUAACUGGGAGGGUGCGCCGAAAACUGGAAGGCUUGAGUAUGGGAGAGGUAAGCGGAAUUCCUGGUGUAGCGGUGAAAUGCGUAGAUAUCGGGAGGAACACCUGUGGCGAAAGCGGCUCACUGGACCACAACUGACGCUGAUGCGCGAAAGCUAGGGGAGCAAACAGG
This 253-nucleotide ribosomal RNA is filed under the name uncultured bacterium. RNAcentral's name for it is "partial 16S ribosomal RNA". It matches the Rfam family "Bacterial small subunit ribosomal RNA", at positions 524 to 776 of the family's 1533-position model. The record is from RNAcentral.